Long non-coding RNA from Bubalus bubalis (water buffalo), 2205 nucleotides. RefSeq lists it as uncharacterized. Lineage: Eukaryota; Metazoa; Chordata; Mammalia; Artiodactyla; Bovidae. The record is from RefSeq and is a predicted model, not a curated record. The transcript has 3 exons.
UCUAGGUUCAGAGAAAACGAGCGCCCUUUUCUCACUGAGCCUCGUGGCAUUUCUUGUCUAGCCCGUAUCUCAGACGUGUGCUCUAUUACCUUGUUUCCACCCUUCUUUUUUUUUAAACAAGGAUACCAAUGCGGGCAACUACAAAAGCAAAAAUGAAAAGGGAAAAGAGAAGAAGAGAUUUCUUUUUCUUAAACUGAGGUUUUUCUGAAGUAUUUCUUCGGAGUGGGCUUUUAUUUCUUCAAGGACAAGAGGCCAAACUGACAGAAAGUGAAGAAGCACUCUCGUCCUCGCCUUGUGUAAUGACUGUCGAUGCUUUGGGAAAAUGCAUUUGCUGCGGGGUUGAAAGGCUGUGCUGUGCCAGUGCCGCCUUGAGAGCCUCCUGAAUCCUUCAGAGAGAAGCGCGGGUCAGAAUUCUCCUUCCUUCUAGAAGGAGGACCGGAGAAACGCUUGGAAAGUUCAUCAGAGAGGAGAGGGAAAGCGGACGUGUUCCGGUGUCGCCCUCGAGUCAAGUACCUUCACCUGUUUCCAUUUUGUUUGUUUGUGCGCUUGUUUGGAUCAGCAGCCCAGGCUGUGCCCGGGGCUGCCGCCCUGGCCAGUGGGAACAGGAAGCCAGCGUUAGAAGCGGAAGGAAGGGUCACACCUGCUCCUGUUUGCUGUUAUUGUCGUUGACACUUGCAGCUGACUGUCACUUUGGUUUCACGUGGACACAGAACAAAAAAUGUUCAGUGUGGUCAAAGCUCAGUCUAGGCUGUCAUUUACAAUUCCUUGUUAUUUUAAAAAUGGCCGUUUCUGGAUUUUAUUCUUUUCUCUUUAUCUCGAUCAUUUUUCUCCGACGUGUUUCUCCAGCAUUCAGUCACCCUUGGGCAACUCGCAGUUGACUAUACCCGGAAAACCUCUGCUGUAAGAUUUCAGCUGUGCCUUUGCUGUAGCUGACAGACGUCAGGGUUGGGGGAGGUCAGGGAGGGGCAUGACCUCCAGUUUAUCCUGGAGCUGGAUCCAGGCAAGUGGGGGCGGCUACCCCAUCUCCAUCCUGGAAAUCUACUCCCUGCCCACUGUCCCCACAUAGAUGCUGUUAGAGGACGUGGCCCUGAGAUAGCAAGGUGUUGUUAGACCACCUGGACUAUGUGCCUGGCUGUGCUCAGUUGUUCAGUCGUGUCCGACUCUUUGUGACCCUGUGGACUGUAGCCCACCAGGCUUCUCUGUCCAUGGGAUCCUCCAGGCCAGAAUACUGGAGUGGGUAGCCAUGCCCUCCUCCAGGGAAUCUUCCCAACCCAGAGAUCGAACUCGCUUCUCCUGCGUCUCUUGCAUCGCAGGUGGAUUCUUUUCAACUGAGUCAACUGGAAAGUCCACUAUGUGCCUGGACUGUAUCGACUUAAGAUUCUGGCAGACGCAUGCAGAGAUAUACUGUCUUCCAGAUCCCAGGACAGACUUCAUGUCUCUCAAUCUGAAAAGAAGUCUUUAUGAUAAGGUUCUCUCCACACUUCCAGUCUUCUAGGAUCUCAUAGAACUGGAGAACUGAAGAACCUCUGUGGAUCUUGGAUAUCACCUUUGCCAAGCCUCUUAUAUCCCAGUCAUGUCUGACUCUUUGGAACGUCGUGGACUCUAGCCUGCCAGGCUCCUCUGUCCAUGGAAUUCUCCAGGCAAGAGCACUGGAGUGGGUUGCCAGGCCCUCCUCCAGGGGAUCUUCCCGACCCAGGGAGGGAGCCCGCAUCUCUCACAUCUCCAGGUCGGCGGGAGUGUUCUCCACCACUGCCACCACCUGGGAAGCCCAGGGGCCGCUGCCCGCUCGGCCUGACCCUGAGGCUGCAGCCCUUGGUUAGCUCACAGGGCACCACCACCGGCUGAGGCAUCCUUCAGUUCCUAUUUCGGGGGAGGCGCCGCCUGUAGCGUGGCUCAGAAGCUCGCGUUUGGAGGGCCAGAAUGCAGCUGCCGUGACAGCCUUGCUCAUCGACACGGCAGGAGACGCUCUCUCACACCACCUGUGACGCGACCAAGAGAAAGAAGCUAACCCGCCCCCUGCUGAUAUUUGCCAUUCUAGGAGACACUUACAAAAUCACACGGCUUUUACUGUGUUUUCUCCCCCCCAUCUCUGAUCCAUAAAACAAUUGGCAUCUAGGCCGCAACAAGAUGGUUAGUUUGAGGCUUUAGUCUGCCACCUUCUUGGUCAGCUGGCUCUCCAAAUAAAGUCAUAUUUCUUGCGUCAAC